This 591-nucleotide long non-coding RNA is filed under the name Rattus norvegicus (Norway rat). Its description in RNAcentral is "long non-coding RNA NONRATT005110". Lineage: Eukaryota; Metazoa; Chordata; Mammalia; Rodentia; Muridae. The record is from RNAcentral.
GAAGGGUGUUGAUACGCGUUCUUGAGUAGAAGGGGAGCCAGCGUCCUGAUGGAGAGAGUUCUGACCCGAGCUGCUGACCCAGAAGACGAAAUGAGAAGAGAGAUAGACUGGAAAGUUCAUUCCGGCUUAAUCCAGGUGGAAUUUCAUCAGAGCUCCUGGAGAGUGUGACAGCAGCGUGCCUGGGAGGGAGCUGCGGCGGGAGGAGAGGCGCUUCCCCCAGGUGUGGUGUCUGUCUACCAGAUACCUGCAGUUCCUAAGGAGGACAGAAGAGGGCGCUGUAUCUCCUGGUGGCUCCAGCUCCAUCCAGCUCUUGCAGAGAUUAAGAAGAGACUAUGGCUGGCGCUUCCAACACAAGGCAGAGGCUGUGCCAAACAGACCUUUCUGGGUGUCAGGCUUGUAAACAGCAAGUCAAGUGAAGAGAAAGAAAAGCCAUUGUUUCUAUUGGCUUCAGGCAUGGUUGGAUUCAAGCACUCAACUAGUCAGGGCGCCUCUGGGAUUCGCUGCUUUUUGUGUUAGAUCCACUCCUGGGUGGGACAUUGGCCUGGCAGCAUCUUACCUUCGUCUUACUAAGUAUAAGACCAUUUGAAAGAU